AGCAGCCGCGGUAAUUCCAGCUCCAAUAGCGUAUAUUAAAGUUGUUGCAGUUAAAAGCUCGUAGUUGAAUUUCGGGAUCAAUACGUCGGUCGUGCUUCGGUACGUACUGGCGUAAUUGAUUUCUCCCUUCUGACGAACCAUGAUGUCAUUAACUUGGUGUCAUGGGAAAUCAGGACUGUUACUUUGAAAAAUUGAGUGUUUAAAGCAGGCUCACGCUUGAAUACAUUAGCAUGGAAUAAUGAAAUAGGACGUUCGAUCCUAUUUUGUUGGUU
Molecule: unclassified non-coding RNA, 272 nt
Filed under: uncultured Acaulospora
Lineage: Eukaryota; Fungi; Glomeromycota; Glomeromycetes; Diversisporales; Acaulosporaceae
Description: sequence contains 18S rRNA gene
Rfam family: Eukaryotic small subunit ribosomal RNA
Source: RNAcentral